Molecule: unclassified non-coding RNA, 307 nt
Filed under: Lyophyllum decastes
Lineage: Eukaryota; Fungi; Basidiomycota; Agaricomycetes; Agaricales; Lyophyllaceae
Description: partial internal transcribed spacer region
Rfam family: Eukaryotic small subunit ribosomal RNA (bases 1-46)
Source: RNAcentral
AAGUCGUAACAAGGUUUCCGUAGGUGAACCUGCGGAAGGAUCAUUAUUGAAUAAAUUUGGUUGGGCUGUUGCUGGCUCCUAGGAGCAUGUGCACGCCUAGCUCCAUUUUUACCACCUGUGCACCUUUUGUAGACCUGGAUAUCUCUCGAGGAAACUCGGUUUGAGGACUGCUGAGCGAAAGCCCUAGCUUUCCUUACAUUUCCGGUCUAUGUCUUUAUAUACCCCAUAUGAAUGUAACAGAAUGUCAUUUACUGGCCAUUGUGCCUUUAAUCAAAUACAACUUUCAGCAACGGAUCUCUUGGCUCUC